Molecule: non-coding RNA, 4999 nt
Organism: Podarcis lilfordi (Lilford's wall lizard)
Lineage: Eukaryota; Metazoa; Chordata; Lepidosauria; Squamata; Lacertidae
Source: the annotation of a GenBank genome assembly
CCUGUUGAUUUAAGCAGAGUCUCGUGCCCAGCGGAAGGAUGAGGAAAAUGUGCUGCAUACUCUAUAUUGCUUUUAUUUACAGUUCAAAGCUGGUAUAUUACAGAAAGACAUCUUGCCUCUGCCGGAGCAGAAAAUGCAUCCUCUCUCCUCGACAGCUCGGAGAGAAUCACACAGUGAAAAACAGGAAACCAGUGUACGUCACAUCCAGUCUCCCUUUCCCGUGAGAAACUCCAACAGUACAGACUGUGGAAUGUAAACACCUGUCUCGUGACAAGCAGAGCUGCACAGUGAAGGAAAGCAGAAACCAACAUCCUCCCCUUUCUGUGAACAUCACUGGGCAGCGUGUUUGCACAAUAUCAGUACAAACCCAACUUCUGCACAUAGGUACAGUGUUGAUCCCUUGAUACAAUCUUGGACAAUACAUCAGCAGGAAUUUCAUUACCUGGCAUAUAGGACACCGUUACGAGUCCCUUCUGAAUACAUUCCCUAGCAUGCUGCAACUUUAAUUGUAAGUGCUUUGUGCUUUGCUUACAACCUUCAGACUUCAGCAAAGCCAAACAUGCUUUGUUGUCCUGGUAAACCUGGAUUGGACAUUUGACAGGAAUUUUCAUAUCUUUGCACAAUUGUACUAACCAUUCACAAUCCUUAAGUGAAUAAGACAGUGCAUUCAGUUCGGCUUCACAAGUACUUAAGCUAACUGUUGUUUGCUUCUUGCAUGACCAAUCAAACAGACUCUGAUUGUACAUGUAGCAAACUCCAGACGUACUUUUCCUGUCUGUAGCGUCACUUCCAAAACUUGCAUCUGCAAAUAUCUCAAGACCACCAGACUUCUGAUUGUUAAAUCUCAGUCUGUAAUGCAUAGUGCCUUUCAAAUACCGCGCUAUGCGUUUCAGAGCUUUCCAAUCCUUGACACUAGGAUUGUUGACUUGUCUGCUUAGCAAAUUACAGCUAACAGCAAUGUCUGGUCUUGAACAUCUGGCAAUGAAGUUUAGCUUGCCUAGCACACUCCUGUACAGUGUAGUGUCAGAAAAUGCUUCUUCAGUGUCAUCUACCUGAUAACCUGUUGUCAUCGGUGUGUCUACAGGGUUAGCAUCUAUCAGAUUUAGUUUGCUUAACACAUCAGCAAUUUUCCGUGACUGGUGUACUAGAAUGUUACCAUCUUGAUCUCUCUCUAUUUCCAGAGAUAGGUAGUUGUUUACCUCACCAAGAUCUUUCAUGUCAAAGUGCUCUUUCAGUUGAGCUAGGGCGCUAUUGUACAUUGCAACAUCUUUCCAAAAGAAUAAUAAAUCAUCAACAUAAAACAAACAGUACAGUUUCUUUUGCCCCUCCUCUUUGACAAAUACACAUGGAUCAGCUUUCCCUUGCUGAAAACCUAGAGAAAACAAUACUUCAGUGAGUUUUGUGUGCCAACACCGUGCACUUUGUUUGAGACCAUAAAGGGAUUUCUUCAGAGCACAAACAAAUCCCUGUUUUACCUGUACGCCAUCAGGUGGAAGCAUAUAAAGUGAUUCAUCUAGAGAUCCGUACAGAAAAGCUGUAUUAAUAUCAUGGUGACUAAUGUGUAGAUUUUCCUCUGCAGCUAGCUUAAGCAUAAGCCUAAUGCUUUCAUAUCUCACUGUGGGUGAAUAGGUCUCGUGAUAGUCUUCACCUGGUACCUGUGCAAAACCUCUGGCUACCAAUCUGGCUUUGUGUCUGACUAUCUUGCCAUUUUGACCUGUCUUCGCUUUGAAGACCCAUUUGCUUCCAAGCAGUUUCAUUCCUGGAACUACUGGAACUAGCUCCCAUGUUUUGUUCCUUUCUAAGGAAUCAAGCUCAGCCUUCAUGGCAUUUAACCAUGGCUCAGCUUCCUUUGAAUCCAAACCCUGGAUUUCUUGGAAAUUUGAAGGUUCAAAUACCUUCUUGGAGCUUUUAACAGCUGUUACUGCUAUCUUAGCAAACUCAUCAGCAAAUCUCUUUGGAGGUUUGCCUUUUGUGGCUCUCUGUGACCUACGAAUUAGCCUUAAGUCUUCAACACUCUCCUCUUCCUUCUUAGGAGAAAAACGACCUAUUGUGAACAAUGGUUCCUCCAAUUCUUGAUCAGAGCUUUCAGAGGGUCGCAUAGAGGCUUUCGCACUCUUGAAAUCCUCUGAAUCACCCGAUUCAGUUUCAGAUUCAGACUCAGAACCUUCAUCAGUGGGUGUGGGCUGUUGUGGUUGCUUUUGACUAUCCUCAGUCUCAUCACCGUCAUCAGGAUAACAUUGGAAAAUUCCCACAUUCUCCCCCACUUUGCAUUGUACUCGACACUUCUCGUGAGCUUAAUUGUCUUAGAGUCAGUCAUCAUUAUUCUGUAAGACCCUUUCUGAUAACCUAGAAAGAUACCAUGCAAUCCACGCUUGUCUAACUUGGAGUUUUGUGGUGAGCGAACCCACAUGUCAGAACCAAAAAUCUUCAUGUGUUUGAUGUAUGGCUUCUUGCCAAACAUCUUCUCAUAGGGGGUACUACCAAUCGCUGAAGAUAACCUGCGAUUGUAACUGUAAACAAAACACGAGAGAGAUUCGGCCCAAUAACUCUCUGGAAGAUUGGCAUCAUGCAGCAAGGUUUUUAACCCUUGAAGCAAUGUCUGAUUUGCCCGUUCCGCAAGUCCAUUCUGCCAUGGCGAGCGAGGACUAGACAAAUCGUGUUGAAUUCCUUUCUCAGUCAGAAAAGCUUCAAACUGCUGAGAAGUGAAUUCCCCCGCGAUCACUGAAAAGAGUCUUUAUCUUCUUACCAUGCACAUUUUCCAACCAAGCACAGAAUUCCUUGAACCUAGGAAAAGCCUCCGAUUUCUGCUUGAGAUUGUACACAAAAAUAUAUCUAGAAAAUGCAUCAAUGAGAACCAUGAAGUAUCUAUUUCCACCCAAAGAGGGCGCUAGUGGUCCAACCAAAUCAGCAUGAACAACCUGGUAUGGUUCUGUAGCUUUCCUACUAGACACCUUACCUUUCGCAGCCAUUUUCACCUUGUUUGCUGCGCAUGCUUUGCACUUCAUGUGGUACCUGCAGGGUUUAAUAGUCAUACCUUCAACCAAGGCAGGCAUUUUAGAUACUGCCUCAAAAUGCAAAUGACCAAAUUUUCGAUGAAAAUCGUGAAUACAUUCUGCAUGCAAACUUUUGUUAGAACCUGCAAUGCAACAAGUGUCAUCCUGCACCACAUCAUCAUAAUACAAAACAAACAAAUGAUCAACAUAUUCUGCAUGCAAUACAUAAUCAUUUUUCUUUGUGAUGAUGCACUUCUUGUUCUUGAAGGAAACGUCAAUGUUCCGCUCAUUCAGCUGUCCAACGCUGAGCAGAUUAUGUUUGGCGUCUGGCACGUAAAGCACAUUCUGUAUCGAUAAGUCCAAACUGUGAAGAACAACAGUUCCGUAGCCUUUACUGGGAAUAGUGUGGUCAUCCGCCUGGUGAAUCGCACCUUCCUGCGGUGUAAAAGACUCAAACAGUUUCUUAUCGUUGCACAUGUGGUGGGUCGCCGCUGAAUCAACUACGAAGAAAGAUCUAGACGUCUUCUGGACCUCUGCAACCUUUGGAGUGAAGCGUGAAACCAUAGCCUUGUGCUGCGUUGUCCUAGACACCGGACCUUUGCCUUUGCCUCGGCCUGUUCCGCGCGAUGAGCUUUCGCUGCGCUGCUCUGUCUUGGCCCUGGGAUGUCUGCAUUCCCUCUUCAUAUGGCCUAGACGUCCACACGAGUAGCAUUUCACUGCCUUCAAAGCUUUGGCGCCAUCUGGUGGUUCCACUGCACUAUGGGAUGACGUCUGUGAAGACUCCCCCUUGCCCAUGCAGCUAGCACCCCGGCGAUCUGCUUCAUUUAAAAUCACGGCAGUAACAAAGUCCACUGUCAGCUGAGCAGUUGGUUGCACAGCAAUCUGGGUUGCAACAGACUCCCAACCUGAACCCAAAGAUUGUAGUAUCAUGAAAGAAUACACAGCCUCUGGAAAGUUGAGUCCUCUCUGUUGCAGCUCAUGUCUCAGAUUUUGCAUCUCCAUCAGAUGUAAACGCACAUCUCCACCUUCAGCAAGAGCCAUAUUAUGCAGCUUGUUAAAGUAAAACAUAGUGGAUCCAGCUUCUGUCCUUAAGUGAGCCUCUUUCAGAGCGUCCCAAAUUUCUCUGGCUGAGGUCUUAUCACGCAAUAGACAGAGCUCUUCUGGGGAUACUAUCAAUGUAAGAGUUCCCCUUGCUUUGGAAUCCUUAGCUUCCCAUGCAUCUGUAACUGGAACUGGGGGUUCCUGUAAUCACCUCAAACAAACCCUCUUUCCGCAGAAUUGCCUCUGCAUACAGAACCCAGUCGCUGUAAUUUUUCUUGUUGAGCUUAGGAAUCCCACAAGCAUCCUGAAGGGCCAUCAUGACUCUGGCAUUAGCCUUCAGCGUCAUAUGCUGCUUUAAAUCUUGCUGCGUCACUGCUGCAGCUGCUUUAUUACAAAGGCACACUUAAAAGUUACUUUCGAUUUCCCCAGCAUAGUGACUUGUGCCUGGGAGCCUUUGCCUAUUCCCGGCAAAACCGGCUUUAAAAGUUCAAAGUCCAGCCAUAAAGCCAUUAACUUGAAGCUGGCAGGCUGCCCGGAGCAGUAGCACAUACCUCAUCAAUCACCUCUACGCGCAGAGCAGAUUCCGUUCCGAUCUGUCCCUCUGCAUUCCGAUCCUUUGCCGGCACUCCGAUUCGACCUCUGGAGCCCAUAACCACGUGUUGAUUUAAGCAGAGUCUCGUGCCCAGCGGAAGGAUGAGGAAAAUGUGCUGCAUACUCUAUAUUGCUUUUAUUUACAGUUCAAAGCUGGUAUAUUACAGAAAGACAUCUUGCCUCUGCCGGAGCAGAAAAUGCAUCCUCUCUCCUCGACAGCUCGGAGAGAAUCACACAGUGAAAAACAGGAAACCAGUGUACGUCACAUCCAGUCUCCCUUUCCCGUGAGAAACUCCAACAGUACAGACUGUGGAAUGUAAACACCUGUCUCGUGACAAGCAGAGCUGCACAGUGAAGGAAAGCAGAAACCAACA